RNAcentral lists this ribosomal RNA (264 nucleotides) under uncultured bacterium. RNAcentral's name for it is "partial 16S ribosomal RNA". It matches the Rfam family "Bacterial small subunit ribosomal RNA", at positions 89 to 354 of the family's 1533-position model. The record is from RNAcentral.
UGGCGACCGGCGCACGGGUGAGUAACACGUAUCCAACCUGCCGAUGACUCGGGGAUAGCCUUUCGAAAGAAAGAUUAAUACCCGAUGGCAUAGUUCUUCCGCAUGGUAGAACUAUUAAAGAAUUUCGGUCAUCGAUGGGGAUGCGUUCCAUUAGCUUGUUGGCGGGGUAACGGCCCACCAAGGCAUCGAUGGAUAGGGGUUCUGAGAGGAAGGUCCCCCACGUUGGAACUGAGACACGGUCCAAACUCCUACGGGAGGCAGCAG